RNAcentral lists this long non-coding RNA (310 nucleotides) under Monodelphis domestica (gray short-tailed opossum). RNAcentral's name for it is "lncRNA (ENSMODG00000038131.1)". Lineage: Eukaryota; Metazoa; Chordata; Mammalia; Didelphimorphia; Didelphidae. The record is from RNAcentral.
GCCUGCAUUCAGACUCCAUCAGCUCUUUCUCUGGAGGCAGAUAGCAUUUUUCAUUAUGAAUCCUUGAGGAUUUUCUUGGAUCACUGUAUUACCAAGAAUAACUAAGUCAUUCAUAAAUGUUCAUUAUAUAUUAUUUUUGUUUCUUUAUGCAGUGUUCUCCUGGUUCUGCUCUCUUCACUUUGCAGCAGUUCAUGUAGGUCUUCCCAAGCCUUUCUUAAAUCAUGCUUAUAAUUGGUCCCACAGCCUCCAUGAAAUGAAUCUGGGCAAGUCAAGCUUAAUGGACAAUAGGGGGCAAGGAAAAGAUGUAUGA